Molecule: ribosomal RNA, 253 nt
Filed under: uncultured bacterium
Lineage: Bacteria
Description: partial 16S ribosomal RNA
Rfam family: Bacterial small subunit ribosomal RNA
Source: RNAcentral
UACGGAGGGUGCAAGCGUUAAUCGGAAUUACUGGGCGUAAAGCGCACGCAGGUGGCUGAGUCAGUCGAUUGUGAAAGCCCUGGGCUUAACCUGGGAAUUGCAGUCGAUACUACUCAGCUAGAGUAUGGGAGAGGGCAGUGGAAUUCCCGGUGUAGCGGUGAAAUGCGUAGAUAUCGGGAGGAACAUCAGUGGCGAAGGCGGCUGCCUGGCCCAAUACUGACACUCAGGUGCGACAGCGUGGGGAGCAAACGGG